CAUUGGGACUCUGAUAAACCUAAAGGCGCAAUGAAAGUGAAGGUCCGCCUCGCGCGGACCGAGGGAGGAUGGCUCCGUUUUCGGACGGGGCCCGCACUCCCGGGGCGUCUCGUUCUCAUCGCGAGAUGAGGCGCACCCAGAGCGUACACGCUGGGACCCGAAAGAUGGUGAACUAUGCCUGGUCAGGACGAAGUCAGGGGAAACCCUGAUGGAGGUCCGUAGCGAUUCUGACGUGCAAAUCGAUCGUCGGAACUGGGUAUAGGGGCGAAAGACUAAUCGAACCUUCUAGUAGCUGGUUCCCUCCGAAGUUUCCCUCAGGAUAGCUGGCGCUCGCAUUGCGAGUCUCAUUCGGUAAAGCGAAUGAUUAGAGGCAUUGGGGUCGAAACGGCCUCAACCUAUUCUCAAACUUUAAAUGGGUGAGAUCUCCGGCUUGCUUAAAACGUGAAGCCGCGAGAUAUUUUUCGGAUCAACGAGUGCCAAGUGGGCCACUUUUGGUAAGCAGAACUGGCGCUGUGGGAUGAACCAAACGCCGAGUUAAAGCGCCAAAAUCGACGCUUAUGGGAUACCAUGAAAGGCGUUGGUAACUU
Molecule: ribosomal RNA, 587 nt
Filed under: Onthophagus rubicundulus
Lineage: Eukaryota; Metazoa; Arthropoda; Insecta; Coleoptera; Scarabaeidae
Description: eukaryotic LSU rRNA
Rfam family: Eukaryotic large subunit ribosomal RNA
Source: RNAcentral